UAUGUGUAUAAUGUAUGUUAUACUGUAUAUACUAAUGAUAUAGGUUACUGUAAAAUGUGCACUGACUCUUGUUCCCUCUUCAUUUUUCCUUUUAUUAAACCGGGAGCAGCAACAGCAGCUGGGAAAGGAAGUUACCCAUCUUGAUGGCUUGAUAAAAAUAUGUAAAAAUGAACCAAUAUGUAUGAUAAGGAGAUUGGAACUGAACAAACUGCAAGAGGAGAGGAAGGGGAAGCAGCAACAAAUAGAUACCUGUUUGGAGGAAAUAGCAGAACUGAAAACUUGCAUCAAGAGGAUGAGCACAGAAAAUGGUUCUCUGUUGGAGAAAAUGAAAGUACUUCAGAAAGCCACAGACAAUAAGUCUCCCAGGUGUUGUUUCACAUUAGCUGUUCACAAGAAUACGGAAACUCUAACAAUUUCCUAGCACAGCUCUUUUGACUGGAUCAGAAAGCACCCAUUGCUUUGAUAGCUGUCAUGCGGCUACAUGCAUUUCCAUGCAAUGUGUUGCUGGGACAACCUUAGUGGAGGAAGAUAUAAGCAGAGUGAAAGAAAUGUAUAAACAGCUGUAAGACCUGAUUUUGUAUUUGUUGUUAUGAAAAUAAAUUAAGGGGCUUGGAUACAAUUUUCCCUCUGGAAAGUUCAUAGGGGAGUGAAACACAGCAAGGAACUCAGCAAGUAUAGAACUAGAACAGUGACAAUUUGGUGCAGCCAACUGUGUUUAUAAAAGUCUGGGGAGACAGGUAAAAUGGUGAUUAUUUACAUGAUAACAGUGACCAGUCCUGACAGGACUAUUGAUGUGAAAUGAAGUGGUGCAUAUGUUUUGGAGCUCUUGGGAAGGACUCCUGAAACUGUUUCAGGUGUCUAGGGCCAGGGCUGUGUCCUUAGGUGUGUUUGGGCAACACUUGGCACAAUGGGGCCUUGGUCUUCGGAGUCUCUUGAUUCCACACAACAGAAAAUGGCAAUUUGGACUUCUGGGAUUCAUGAGAUAGGGCCAUUUGCAAGCAAAGCUCUGCUUCAAUCCUAACUAUAAUUGCCAAGGUGUCAUAACAAAUAUUCAAACCAAUUUCCAUGGAAACCUCCGUUUCAUCUCUGAAUUUUAGUAUGCUUUAAGACAGCAGGAGUGGUAAAAAUCAUGUAGUGGUUAUAUGCAUGGAGAAAUGCUUAUUCCUUGCAUGAACUCUUUGUUGGCUCAAAUCUCUGUGUAUAUGAGAAAAUUAUGCGUGCAAAUUUAGAGGCUUUUAAAAAAUGUUAUCUCCCUUGUAAAAUGCCUGAAUCAGACUCACAUUUGGGUUUCAGUUUUCAUUUCCUCUCAGCAUAAAUAUGAGUCUGAGACACACAAUAGCUAAGUGAUUCCAGAGCAUACAGCAAUUUUAAACACAGAUCCUUUAAAAAAAGAGAAAUGAGAAACCUAACCUUCUACUUGAUAUUAUGCUAAUAAUGUACACAAGAAGGUGGUUUCUAGAAGAAGCAAUGCCGUACAUCAAAAGAACUCUCAAGAAUUGUGGAGUAAAUUUAGAAGACAGAAACUGAGAAACAGAAAACAGCUCAGAGAGACUUGUUAUCCAGCCAGAACAUGGGAUUUAAUGUAAUACUCCACAAAUAGGUUUGCUCCUGUGUCUAGAGGUCAGUGGAAACAUGAUUAGAUCUGUCCUAGAGAUGUUUAAACUUGGAUGCUUAACUCUGGUGCUAGGAAAGUGCAUGCAGAACCUCCUGAUUUCAGUGGGAGAUGAGCAUUGGCAUGAAGGGCAGCAACAAAGGCUCUUAGGAGGAGAGUUUUCGCUCAGGCCUUGUACCUUUAGGAUUUAUAAUGUCAGUGACAUUUCAUUUUUUUUGGUAGAGCUUGAUGCUGCUGAAAGCAUCUUUGCUUUAAUUUACAUUGAAUAUCAAGUAAAACUAGGUAACUUGUGUCACAGAUCUGACCAAACACUCCUUACUGGUGACUCAUGAGACUGCUGUGAGAUCAGCCAGCCUCUGAGUCUCCUGGGUGAUCUGAGCUCUCAAAUGGGCCUCUCAGCCAUUCUCAAGGUGCAGAUCUUCUGCCUUUUACUCCCUUGCUAGAGUGCAAAUGUGAAGUCUUAACUACCAGUGCCCUGAGCUAAUGUUGCCUGUGGGCAUGCAGAGGCUUCAGCUUAAGUGUUCAGGAGGAUGUAAUAGGUGUAGACAGACAAAUCGAGAGAGUCUUUGUGCAGAGUUUCUAAGCACACAUUACUGCUCUCAAUCAUGUGAGAAACACAGUUCAUUCAGAAAACAAGUGUAGAUUCUACGUGCAGUGCCCCUGAAUCAGCUCACCCUUCCUUAGGGGAUCCAUCUUAUGUCAGGUGACAUCUGGAUCUGCCUUAAGAAAAGGCCACUACUCUACCAGUUAAGUACAGUAUUAUGCCAUUUUUCCUCUGAUUAAAACUAUCCCCUAGGGUCAGAGUUGUAUUAGUGUGAGUACAUGUCGCUGGUGGAGUAUUUAAGUAAUUGACCCUCUAACAUUAACCCUUGUGUUAGUAAUUUAAGAGAAAGGAUGUAGCAUAAGCAUGUUCAGGGAUUUGUGCUGGCUCAAACAUGAUACAAUGUGUGCUGGCUCAAACACAAACUUUAACCCAAACACAGUCCAUCAAGGGUUAACUCCCAGGUCUGAGUCUCUUCAGAACCUGAGAAGGUGACUCUGGCUUGCUGCUGCAGUCUUCCAUCUCAGGCUGGCUCUGACUCAGUUCCCUGCCCUGGUAUCACUGGUAUCCCAAUCUCACAGCACUUAGGUCUCUUCCCAGACCCGGAGUAGUGUCUCUGAUCCCAUACUGAAGCCACUGGCCAGACUCUUACGGUCUGUUCAUCUGUCUGCCUCUGACUUUCUCUCCCUGAGAGCCUUUUAUUUCCUGUGGGCCAGCUAAUUAUCUCCCUCAGCUGGCCCAGUCCUUCUGAGCAGCCUGCAGUUGGUGUUACUGCUCACAACUGGGCUAGAGCCUCUGGCCCCGCAGCCUACUACAGUCUACCACAGAUAGCUGCAGGACAGGGUGGCACCUUUAAGGUUAGGCUGUACCCUAUGGAAAGCUUAUGCUUUUCUGAAGGAGUGGUACCACGCAGCCCCAUCUUUUGCCUUAGGAAUUUUACUAAAGGAUAGACAAAAAGACAGCAGGAAGGUAAAGACCAGCCUUACAAUGUAAAUGGAAUUUGCAUUGUGAUACAGGUGUGUUCAGGGUGCCUAAUCACCAACAGAAUUCUUUGAUUUCCCAAAUCUUCACAAAUAUUUUAAGUGAUCUUUCUGUUUUUCUCAGAAAUUUUCUGUUGCUGAGAACACAUCACUUAAGGUUACCUUACAUUUCAAUGAUAGAUGAAAUGAUACCCAUUGGUAGUGGAUAAAUGGAAAUGCAGUGCUUCGGUUACAAAUAAUAGACAUAUAGAAGCAUUUUUACAUAAAGAUAUGGAAUUAGAAGGGAUGUCUUGGGUCACUGAGUCCAGUUCCCUGCUAUUAUGGACAACUUUACAAUACUCUGUUUAUAGGCUGAUCAAGCACAGCCUUAAAGUGAAGGCAAGAAACCAAACUGUUUCCACUGGCAGGAUGUUCCAUAACCAUGCUGAUCUAAUGGUCAGAAAUCUUCCAGCCUGCAUUUAUUUAUGGGUAAUUUAUAUCCAUUUGUUUUUGUGCCAGCAUUGUCUUGUAGAUUAAGCAGCUCUUCUCUCUCCCUGGUCUUUACUCUCCUGACAUAUUCAUAGAGAGCAAUCUUAUCUCCUCAGCCUUUAUUUUGCUAGGCUAAAUAAGCCAACUGUUUUAGUGUCCUGUUGUGAAACAGGCUAAUCAUUACUCUUAUA
Long non-coding RNA from Gavialis gangeticus (Gharial), 3792 nucleotides. RefSeq lists it as uncharacterized. The record is from RefSeq and is a predicted model, not a curated record. Lineage: Eukaryota; Metazoa; Chordata; Crocodylia; Gavialidae. The transcript has 5 exons.